RNAcentral lists this long non-coding RNA (2136 nucleotides) under Podarcis lilfordi (Lilford's wall lizard). The record is from RNAcentral. Lineage: Eukaryota; Metazoa; Chordata; Lepidosauria; Squamata; Lacertidae.
GAGAGCGGCCGUUGCUGUCUGUCUCGCGCGCUUGAUUUGAAUGUGAGGCGACGGUUGGCCGUCGAGGGGGCGGCUGAGGCGGCGCGUCGCUCGCGGCCCUUGGUCGGCGGCUGAGGGCCUUGCUCCGGCCCCUUCCUCCGAGAUGGUCGGAGAGGUUGUGGUCAACGACUCCCGCCCGUCGGGUUCUUCCCGGCUUUCUUGGCUCGAAGGCGAGGGCCUUCGCCACCGCCGCUUUCCUGAGGUGACACAGCCGUCGUGGUAGCCGCUUCGUACACCGCAGCGCCUCCAAGCGGUGCCCCAGCUUCCUCUCGUUUCCCUCGGCGCUGGGCAAGGGAAAGGUUGGCCGUUUCCAACGCCUCCUGGAAACGGUGAGGUUUGGGCGUCAAAUGUACGCAUCAAGUUACGGACGCGUUGCGUUCCGUUUACCAUUUUUUUUAAAAAAAUUAAGGGUCAGUGUAUGUUCCAGCAGAUUCUAAAGCUGCCCCAAUAAGCAGGGAUGUAAACCUAAACAAACAAUCCCUUCCGUAGAAAAAGCUCAUAAUAGCAGAGCCAGUGCAGAUGCGAGGCAAGGAAUUCUGAUCGGAUCUCCCCUCCUUGUUCAUAAAGUAGCCACAGAGGGAUGUCGGGAUGUUUUCAUUUUGGUUAUAUAUACAGUGGUACCUCUGGUUGCGAACGGGAUCUGUUCCAGAGCCCCAUUCACAACCUGAAAGGAACGCAACCCGUGUCUGCGCAGACGCGGGUUGUGAUUUGCCACUUCUGCACAUGCGUGUGACAUCAUUUUGCGCAUAUGCGCAAGUGGCGAAACCCGGAAGUAACCCUUUCCGUUACUUCCAGGUCACUGCAGCACGUAACCUGAAAAAACGUAUCAUGAAGCAAACGUAACGAGGUAUGACUGUAUUGCGGUUUUUAAGGCUGAUCUCUUCUGUGAACCGCCCUGAGACCUCUGGGUAUAGGGCAGUAUAUAAAUUCAAUAAAUAAUAAAAAUAAAAUCUGUUGAGCUUUCCUGAUCAAAAUCAGUAUACUGGGGUGGGUGGUGGUUUCCCUCAGAUAAUAAACUCUGACCCAGAAGCUAGUGCCAUCCACUCCUGAGGAGAACAUCAGUGGCCCAGGAGCUCUGCUGUUCUAUUUUAUUUGCAAAUUUUAAUACUAUGAUAAUGGAGGAGAGAAAACCCAGGAAAGGUUCGGUCAAUAGAAUCUUCCCCACAAUCAAAGGGCCUGUGUAGACCUCUGAGAGCCUUUAGUUGGAUAGGUAACGAGAGACUGAGGCCAAGGUAAGUUGAAGCAAAGCAGUCUGUAGGCUGGUAUUUAUUGUCGCUGUUACAACAGGUGAGUCAUACAAGGUUUGGGGAUUACAUGAGGUCUUAUAUUUGGUUUGUUUCCCGUUCCCCUAGGUGUCAUGAGAGGAUGAAACGGGAAACUGAUAGUUGGAGACAGUGCCUGACAGGAUGCUUUUCAAAUACAAUCACAAACUCAGACUAAUUUACAGGAACCAUAAGGAUGUUAACAAACUGAAAGGUUUUAACAAGCAAACGAAAGAUGAUAACAUAGAUCUCAGGAAUAAACAGUAAACUGUGUUGCAAGUCAUCAGUCAGUGGUUACAAAGUACUUAAUUAAAUGGUGCAAAAACAAACUGUUACAUGACUUCGCAGUCAGUCACAAGGGAAAAGGGUCUGACUCAUGGGGAUAUAUUUUAUAUUAAGAUACACUUUUAUUUCAAGAGUCACAUUUGGAGGAGGAAAUUGAGACAGCAUUUCCAUAUCACCUAAAUUGUAAACCAUUACAGGUGUCUUAGCAGAAGAGUGAUACACAAAUGCAAUUAAAAAGGUACAUGCCUUUCCUCCAAGCCCACCUAAUAGCGGCAUGGAACUAGUAAGUUGGGAAAACAGCGCUGGAAUUACAUAUUCCAUCUCCAAUAAAGGCUCCACUUCAAACAAGAUCCCUUGAGGAAGGGAGACAGGAUUACGUGUCACACCUACUUCAUCCCUUUGUCAGUUUUCUUUGCCCGGCAAUAAAAUUAGUAAUGGUCUGUAUAUACUUGUUGCAAAUCAUAAAUUUGUCAAAGAUCUCAUAUUCAAAUCAGGGAUACCCAGUAGGCACCAGACAUAUUCCCCCCCCCCCCCCACCUUCAUUUUAAAA